AGUGAACGCUGGCGGUAGGCCUAACACAUGCAAGUCGAACGGCAGCACAGUAAGAGCUUGCUCUUACGGGUGGCGAGUGGCGGACGGGUGAGGAAUACAUCGGAAUCUACUUUUUCGUGGGGGAUAACGAAGGGAAACUUACGCUAAUACCGCAUACGACCUACGGGUGAAAGCAGGGGAUCCUCGGACCUUGCGCGAUUGAAUGAGCCGAGGUCGGAUUAGCUAGUUAGCGGGGUAAAGGCCCACCAAGGCGACGAUCCGUAGCUGGUCUGAGAGGAUGAUCAGCCACACUGGAACUGAGACACGGUCCAGACUCCUACGGGAGGCAGCAGUGUGGAAUAUUGGACAAUGGGCGCAAGCCUGAUCCAGCCAUACCGCGUGGGUGAAGAAGGCCUUCGGGUUGUAAAGCCCUUUUGUUGGGAAAGAAAAGCAGCAGGUUAAUACCCCGCUGUUCUGACGGUACCCAAAGAAUAAGCACCGGCUAACUUCGUG
This 492-nucleotide ribosomal RNA is filed under the name uncultured bacterium. RNAcentral's name for it is "partial 16S ribosomal RNA". It matches the Rfam family "Bacterial small subunit ribosomal RNA", at positions 29 to 507 of the family's 1533-position model. The record is from RNAcentral.